Molecule: transfer RNA, 77 nt
Filed under: Pseudomonadales bacterium
Lineage: Bacteria; Pseudomonadati; Pseudomonadota; Gammaproteobacteria; Pseudomonadales
Also listed under: 4 other names
Description: tRNA-Arg
Rfam family: tRNA
About the family: Transfer RNA (tRNA) molecules are approximately 80 nucleotides in length. Their secondary structure includes four short double-helical elements and three loops (D, anti-codon, and T loops).
Source: RNAcentral
GCGCUCGUAGCUCAGCUGGAUAGAGCACCGGUUUGCGGUACCGGCGGUCAGGAGUUCGAAUCUCUUCGGGCGCACCA